This 253-nucleotide ribosomal RNA is filed under the name uncultured bacterium. Its description in RNAcentral is "partial 16S ribosomal RNA". It matches the Rfam family "Bacterial small subunit ribosomal RNA", at positions 524 to 776 of the family's 1533-position model. The record is from RNAcentral.
UACGGAGGGUGCGAGCGUUGUCCGGAAUCACUGGGCGUAAAGGGCGCGUAGGCGGUGGCCUAAGCGUGCGGUGAAAGCCCGGGGCUCAACCCCGGGUCGGCCGUGCGAACUGGGCCACUCGAGCACUGUAGAGGCGGGUGGAAUUCCGGGUGUAGCGGUGGAAUGCGUAGAGAUCCGGAAGAACAACGGUGGCGAAGGCGGCCCGCUGGGCAGUGGCUGACGCUGAGGCGCGACAGCGUGGGGAGCAAACAGG